This 39-nucleotide ribosomal RNA is filed under the name Crataegus chrysocarpa. RNAcentral describes it as "partial 26S ribosomal RNA". The record is from RNAcentral. Lineage: Eukaryota; Viridiplantae; Streptophyta; Magnoliopsida; Rosales; Rosaceae.
CGACCCCAGGUCAGGCGGGGUACCCGCUGAAUUUAAGCA